CGGGGGGGGCAAGCGUUGUUCGGAAUUACUGGGCGUAAAGGGCUCGUAGGCGGCCAACUAAGUCGGAUGUGAAAUCCCCAGGCUCAACUUGGGAACUGCAUCCGAUACUGGAUGGCUUGAAUCCGGGGAGAGGGAUGCAGAAUUCCAGGUGUAGCGGUGAAAUGCGUAGAUAUCUGGAGGAAUACCGGUGGCGAAGGCGGCAUCCUGGACCGGCAUUGACGCUGAUGAGCGAAAGCUAGGGGAGCAAACGGGAUUAGAUACCCCGGUAGUCCUAGCCCUAAACGGUGAAUGCUUGGUGUGGCGGGUAUCGAUCCCUGCCGUGCCGAAGCUAACGCAUUAAGCAUUCCGCCUGGGGAGUACGGUCGCAAGGCUG
RNAcentral lists this ribosomal RNA (373 nucleotides) under uncultured organism. Its description in RNAcentral is "bacterial SSU rRNA". It matches the Rfam family "Bacterial small subunit ribosomal RNA", at positions 526 to 896 of the family's 1533-position model. The record is from RNAcentral.